RNAcentral lists this unclassified non-coding RNA (345 nucleotides) under soil metagenome. RNAcentral's name for it is "partial contains 5.8S ribosomal RNA, internal transcribed spacer 2, and large subunit ribosomal RNA". The stretch from base 1 to 120 matches the Rfam family "5.8S ribosomal RNA", at positions 35 to 154 of the family's 154-position model. The record is from RNAcentral.
GAUGAAUAACGUAGCGAAAUGCGAUACGUAAUGUGAAUUGCAGAAUUCAGUGAAUCAUCGAGUCUUUGAACGCACAUUGCGCCCCCUGGUAUUCCGGGGGACAUGCCUGUCCGAGCGUCAUUGCUGCCCUCAAGCACGGCUUGUGUGUUGGGCCUCCGUCCUCCUCCCGGGGGACGGGCCCGAAAGGCAGCGGCGGCACCGCGUCCGGUCCUCGAGCGUAUGGGGCUUCGUCACCCGCUCUUGUAGGCCCGGCCGGCGCUUGCCGACACAUCAAUCUUUUUUCCAGGUUGACCUCGGAUCAGGUAGGGAUACCCGCUGAACUUAAGCAUAUCAAUAAGCGGAGGA